Long non-coding RNA from Eriocheir sinensis (Chinese mitten crab), 3110 nucleotides. RefSeq lists it as uncharacterized. The record is from RefSeq and is a predicted model, not a curated record. NCBI's taxonomy places the organism in Eukaryota, Metazoa, Arthropoda, Malacostraca, Decapoda, Varunidae. The transcript has 3 exons.
UAUAUCACUUUCUCUGCAUGUGUGGUUAGAUGUGUUCUAUGUGUUUAACCUUUCUCUAUACAUACUGGAAUGAACCAAGGAAUUGUAGCGAUCACAUAGUUUAAAAACUAUGUGAUCAUGUUUUUUCUUCCAAACUCAUUGUUUUAGCACGCACGCUGACUUCCAUCAGUAAUGAUGAUAUAUAUACAUUGAGUCAUUGGUUUGUAGGGGGAAAGAGUGGGUGAAUAUAAUUAUCUUGGUUUAACUUACUGUUUAUCAUACCGCUCUUCGCAGCAAUAUCUUUCUCUGCUCCGAUUGCAACGCUGCCUCGUUCAAAAAUCAUAACACCGCCGCGGCCGCCACGUUUACCAGCCGGAGCCUCAAAUCAUGUCCCUUUGUGGUGAAAAAGAGGACACAGCCUGGUGUGAAGCGACAUUUACUACGGAAGGAUGCCAGCCGGGGGUAAGUGAUUUAUAUAAAUAAUGAUAAUGUGGAAAUUCUAAUCAUUUUCACGCUGACAGUUGUUCUGAACUUGCUAACUGCAUGCCUCCCCUCCUCCCGCGGCAAGAGGCCGAAUGGCCUACACACGGCAGCUCCAGAUUCCCCCCAUUACCACCUGUCAGCCUCGUCCAUGUAGCUAUCCAGUCUACUCUUAAAACAAGCUAUCGUCCCCGCACUCACUAUGUGAUUGCUGAAUCUAUUCCAUUCCCCCAUCACCCUAUUACUGAACCAAUGCCUGCCCAUUUCCCUCCUAAAUCUAUACUUUUCUAAUUUAAGUCAAUUACUGCAUGUUCUAUCUUGCCAAACAUCUUAUGGAAAAGUUAACCAGCAUCUUCACUCUUUCAUCCCUUACACUGAUAAACUCUGGAACAGCCUUCCAUCGUCUGCAUUUCCUCCUGCCUAUAAUUUGACCUUCAAGAAGAGUGUAUCAAGACUCUACUUUUGUUUGUUUGGGAGUGGUGAGUAGUGGGGCUUUUUUUUUCUAGUACGCUUUGUUGCCCUUGAGCUGUCUCCUUUGUUUAAAGAAAAUAAUAAUUAAAUAAAUGGAAGUUGGCCGCCAAUGCUUCCAACACAUUUUGGUGCCAUAUCUACAAGUGGCUGGUGACUGUAAGUAUCUCAGCAACCUGCAUGCAUCUAUGCCAUUCCUAUCACGCUGCAUGGAGCAAGCUUCACAUAACACUCAGACAGAGACAGUUUAAUUAUGGUUACAUAUCUGACUCAGUUUAUUGCUGUCUAUUAGAUGCAGUGCUGUUAAUAUUGUUAGUGGUAGUAUUAGUACAAUUAAUGUAUUUGUUUUAAUUAAUUUAUCUAUUUAUUUAUUAUAUGCUUAGUGUCUGAAAAUUCCAAUACUAGUAUUAAGAUAAACAAAAAUAUCAGAAAUAUAUUUACACUCAUUAAUUAUUAUUGCUUUUCUUAUUAUUAAUUCCUUCAAUGUCCUGGCACUUUGACAUCUAGUGCUUUUCCAUCUAGCAGCCAAAAUUGUGGUCUUUCUCAAUGUAUAUGCCCUAAGUCUUCAUUGGUGUAACUAGCUAUAUAACAUAAAAAUCUGCAUCUCUCUCCCUUCUCACCCAGUUGUCCCUGUACAUCCUUUCAGUAUCCAAAGAAUUUCAAUUUACAUCUUGUAAUCACUCAACUAAUGCAGUGCAAUCCUCAUCUCUGUAUUUUACCGUGUGGACAUACUCUUUCCUUCCAUGUUCCACUGUCGUAUGUUAUUCCACAUCUAACAAAACCUCAUCCCAACAGAUCCGAACACAUCCGAUAUCAUCCAAGAGAAUGUGGCAGCUGAAGGGGGAGAGGCCAAGAAAGAGGCCAAGGGUGAAGACAUUUAGCCACCCCCCCUGAAGUACAUGGCAGCAUUCAACCCUCUUGGUGAGCUGCAGGAAUGUGCUUCCCAUUGCAGUGCACCAGCUCCAUGUACUGAUUUUGGGUGUGAACUUGAUGGGGUUGGAGGAAACUCGACUCGGCCAUCAAGCUCACCACAAUAUAACAUGAAAAGUGAAAAUUGCUGCACACAACAGUCUGCUGUCUGUGCCGGGAGGCAAGGCAUCUCAAAGCCCAGGCUGUUACAACUCCUGGGCAGUUUUUGCCCUGAGCCAGCAAUUUUUUAGAUCCAAUAGGGAUGGAUUUUUUCUGAGGUCAGGUUCAACAUGCUGCAAGAUGCCAAGAUCUAAGCCUAGUAGGAGAUAUGGGUUACAAGAGAGGAGGUUUGCUCUGGCCUUAUACUAUCAAAGUCCAAAUGCUAAUAGAUUUCUGAGCACAGUAUUUCACUUGCCUUCAGUUUCAACACUUCACUCAUGACUCAGGGGUAUUUCAGUACAUGUUGGCUGGAGCAAACAGACUCUGACAGCCCUGCAGCAAAGAGCACAGGCUUUGUCAAAAGAAGAGAAACUUCGUGGGAUUUGCCAUUAUUUAGUAUUACUCUUGUUACGGCAAGAAUUUUUUUCCAUAUACUUUGCCAAAUAUUGCAAGUAAUGCACCAUUGUUGGGCUUGCUUGUUAUAAAUCAGAUCUUGUUCAAUUAACAAGCUUUGGGUGUCUGCCACUUUCCAGUUGUAAUGCAAGGAAUCAUUUAUCUUCCCUGCUAGAUAUCACAUGUAAUGCACCAUUGUUGGUUUUGCCUGUUAUAAAUCAGAUCUUGUUCAGUUAACAAGCUUUAAGUGUCUGCCACUUUCCAAUUGUAAUGCAAGGAAUCCUCUGCCAGAUAUCACAUGUAAUGCACCAUUGUUGGUUUUGCCUGUUAUAAAUCAGAUCUUGUUCAGCUCACAAGCUUUGAAUAUCUGCCAUCGUUUAUUUCAGGUGUAACGCUUGGAAGCAUUUGUUCUCUUCCCUGCCCAACAGUAUGCAAUACUUUAUUGUGGAUUUUGCCUGUUAUGUUUACUCUUGUUCAGGUAACAAGCUUUUGGUGUCUGCCUUACCUAAUAUGUGCUGCAGUGACACUUGGCUUGGUUUCAUGAUGUGAAAUACAGCAUGUAAUUUCAUCACACUAAGUGUCUGUUAUCAUGUGUCUGGCAUCAUUAAUGUGGCUUCCAGGAGUAAUCUUGUUUGUAUUACAGCAUGUAAUGUUUUUUCUGCUUUAUAUGAUAUACAUAAUCACAUAGGUAUGAUUUACAAAAUGUAAUGGCAGUUGAUAUU